GCCUGUGGCCAUAUCACCCUGCAGCUCUCAACUGGUUACCCAUCGAUGCUAAGCAGGUUUGAGCCUGGUCAGUACUUAGAUGGGAGACAUCCUGGGAAGCUAUGGUUGCUGCUGGAA
Molecule: ribosomal RNA, 117 nt
Filed under: Lepisosteus oculatus (spotted gar)
Lineage: Eukaryota; Metazoa; Chordata; Actinopteri; Semionotiformes; Lepisosteidae
Source: RNAcentral